RNAcentral lists this ribosomal RNA (925 nucleotides) under uncultured bacterium. Its description in RNAcentral is "bacterial SSU rRNA". It matches the Rfam family "Bacterial small subunit ribosomal RNA", at positions 8 to 916 of the family's 1533-position model. The record is from RNAcentral.
AGAGUUUGAUCCUGGCUCAGGACGAACGCUGGCGGCGUGCCUAAUACAUGCAAGUCGAACGGAGAUUGUAGCAAUACGGUCUUAGUGGCGAACGGGUGAGUAACGCGUAAUCAACCUGCCCUUCAAUGGGGGACAACAGUUGGAAACGACUGCUAAUACCGCAUACGAUCGUAAUUCGGCAUCGAGAUACGAUGAAAGGUGGCCUCUAUUUAUAAGCUAUCGUUGAAGGAGGGGAUUGCGUCUGAUUAGCUAGUUGGAGGGGUAACGGCCCACCAAGGCAAUGAUCAGUAGCCGGUCUGAGAGGAUGAACGGCCACAUUGGGACUGAGACACGGCCCAAACUCCUACGGGAGGCAGCAGUGGGGAAUCUUCCGCAAUGGACGAAAGUCUGACGGAGCAACGCCGCGUGAGUGAUGAAGGUCUUCGGAUUGUAAAGCUCUGUUAAUCGGGACGAAAGAGCCUAGUGUGAAUAAUGCUAGGAAGUGACGGUACCGGAAUAGAAAGCCACGGCUAACUACGUGCCAGCAGCCGCGGUAAUACGUAGGGGGCAAGCGUUAUCCGGAAUUACUGGGUGUAAAGGGAGAGUAGGCGGCAUGGUAAGUUAGAUGUGAAAGCCCGAGGCUUAACCUCGGGAUUGCAUUUAAAACUAUCAAGCUAGAGUACAGGAGAGGUAAGUGGAAUUCCUAGUGUAGCGGUGAAAUGCGUAGAUAUUAGGAAGAACACCAGUGGCGAAGGCGACUUACUGGACUGAAACUGACGCUGAGGCUCGAAAGCGUGGGGAGCGAACAGGAUUAGAUACCCUGGUAGUCCACGCCGUAAACGAUGAGUGCUAGGUGUCGGGGGGGAACCCUCGGUGCCGCAGCUAACGCAAUAAGCACUCCACCUGGGGAGUACGAUCGCAAGAUUGAAACUAAAGGAAUUGACGG